RNAcentral lists this small RNA (300 nucleotides) under Histoplasma ohiense. RNAcentral describes it as "hypothetical lncRNA". The record is from RNAcentral. Lineage: Eukaryota; Fungi; Ascomycota; Eurotiomycetes; Onygenales; Ajellomycetaceae.
AGUGACCUGGUUGAAGGAAUAAUAUCCACUGAUGAUAUCUAUUGAUGACGUCUGCUAAUGAUAUAUAUGAUGAUAUCUGGCAAUGAUAUAUCGAUCCAGCAAUGACAUAUACCAAUGAUGUCUAUCAAUGAUGAUAUCUAGCGAUGAUAUCUAGCGAUAAUAUUGCUUAAUAGCAACAUAAUGAAUAAUAUGACUUCGCACUUUUGCUCUCUCUUGGCCCAGCUGCAUGAUUCCUGCUAUACAGUGUUGUGCCUGAGCUUUCCAACCCUUUGGAGGAAUUAAAAAUGUCUUCAUCCCCUG